Molecule: RNA transcript, 3575 nt
Organism: Hevea brasiliensis (rubber tree)
Lineage: Eukaryota; Viridiplantae; Streptophyta; Magnoliopsida; Malpighiales; Euphorbiaceae
Gene name: receptor-like protein EIX1
Exons: 2
Source: RefSeq, a predicted model, not a curated record
ACCACUGUGACAGACUUCUCUGUAUAUAUCGUUGCCCUAUUAACUAGAAAGUCGUGCGCUUUGAGCUUCCUCCAGUUCUCUGUAUAACAAUUCUUUUCCCCUUGGUGCUGUUGCUUACCAAAGUCUGAUAACUUUGGCUUCUACCUUGACCGUUCAAGUCUGUUCUACCAUUUUCCUCCACUGUAACAGACCUCUCUAUAUAUAUCGCUGCCCUACUUACUAGAAAGUUGUGGGCUUUGAGCUUCCUGUUCUCUGUAUAACAGUUCUUUUCUGCUUGGUGCUGUUGCUUACCAUUUUACCUCGAUUGCCUUCGUCAUGAUCAUAACAUAUACAAGAUCCUUUUUUUUAUUCGUUCUGCUUGUAGAGCACUUGUUAUCACCAGCUCUUGGGUUCAUUCUAGGAGUUGGAGAUGGUCAUAUUCAGUGCAUAGAGACCGAGAGACGAGCACUUCUCAAUAUCAAACAAGACCUUAUAGACGACCACGGACAUCUCGAUUCUUGGGGGAGUGAAGAAGAGAAGAGAGAUUGUUGCGAAUGGAGAGGGAUCCAGUGCAGCAACCAAACUGGUCACAUCACUGUUCUUGAUCUUCAUGUUGCCGAGCUCGGUGAUAGACACAAGCCCCUGAGAGGUAAAAUUAAUCAUUCACUGCUCAAAUUGCAACAUCUUCGCUAUUUGGACUUGAGUUACAAUGAUUUUCAAGGGACUCGGCUCCCUAAUUUCAACGACUCUCUGAGAAAAUUAAGAUAUCUCAAUAUCUCCAAUGUUGGUUUCACUGGAACCCUCUCAUAUCAGCUUAGGAACCUCUCAAGCUUGCAGUCUCUUGAUCUUAGUUAUAAUAAUUUUUCUAAAGUUGAAAACCUUGAGUGGCUUUCUCAUCUUUCUUAUUUAGAAACCCUGGAUUUAAGUGGGAAUCGCCUUGGCGAAGACGGAUAUUGGUUGCAUGUAGUUAACAGGCUCCCUUAUCUAACAAACUUGCAUCUAAGCUCCUGUGACCUUGCAAAUAUCAUUCCGAUGUCUAAUUCCCUUGCAAAUUCUUCCACUUCUCUUGCAGUCCUUGAUCUCUCUUCCAACUAUUUCUCUUAUCCAGUAUUCCAGUGGGUUUUUAACUUGAAUAGCAGCCUUGUUGAUAUUAAUCUCAGUGAUAAUCAUUUGGAAGGCUUCGUUCCAUAUGCAUUUCAGUACAUGGCUUCUCUUAAAAAUCUUAAUCUUUCCUUUAAUGAACUUAAAGGAACAAUUCCAAACUUUUUUGGAAAUUUCUGUAGUUUGCAUACGCUAGAUCUUGCUGGGAAUAAUCUCACUGGACAGCUUCCUGUGUUUCUUGAACAUUUGUCUGGGUGUGCAGAGAACUCGGUGGAGAUUCUGAGCUUAGAAAAGAAUCAGCUUCAUGGUUCAUUGCCUGAUAUCACAAGAUUUUCUUCCUUGAAAGAACUGAAUGUCUAUCAAAAUAAUCUGGAUGGCUACUUUCCAGAAAGCUUCAGCCAACUUUCUGGUCUCGUUGUCUUGGAUGUGGCUCACAACAAACUGGCAGGAUCAUUACCUGAUCUUACAAUGUUUCCAUCGUUGAAGAUGUUAAGCAUUUCUCACAAUAGAUUGAAUGGGACUAUAACUGAAAGUCUCGGAGGCCUAUCUAAGCUUGAGAUUUUGUAUGCUAACGAUAAUUCUUUCAAUGGUUUAAUUACCGAAACUCACUUUUGGAAUCUCUCCCAAUUACAGGAAUUGUUCUUGAAUGACAACCCUCUGGUUUUGAAAUUCAACUCUGAUUGGUUUCCUCCUUUUCAGUUGGAUGUAAUAUGUCUUAUGUCCUGCAAUUUGGGGCCUGAUUUCCCGAAAUGGCUUCAAACUCAAAAUGACUAUAUCUCACUUGAUAUCUCAGAUGCUGGACUUUCAGGUUCUGUUCCUGAGUGGUUUUGGGACCUAUCUCCUAGGGUGCGUUUUCUGAAUCUCUCUUACAACCAAUUGAGUGGCACGGUGCCAGAUUUAUCCUCAAAAUUCGUUGGCAGCCCAGGAAUAGAUUUGAGUUCAAAUCUUUUUGAAGGUCAUUUGCCACUCUUUCCUUCCAAUGCUUUAUCAUUGAGUCUUUCUAAAAAUAGAUUUUCGGGCUCCAUCUCUUCGGUAUGCAACACAAUGGGCAGGAAAUUCAGUUUUCUGGACCUCUCAGAUAACUUAUUGUCUGGAUUCAUUGAUGAUGAUUGUUUCACGAAUGGACAACAACUGAUUGUCCUGAACUUGGCUGACAACAAAUUUUCGGGAAAAAUUCCAACCUCUGUGGGAUCUCUAUCUGAGCUCCAAACAUUCAGUUUACGAAAUAAUAGCUUCUCUGGAGAAAUACCUUUAUCCUUAAGGAAUUGCAGUCGGCUGAGAUUUUUGGACCUUAGUUAUAAUAGAUUAUCCGGGAAAAUACCUGCAUGGAUCGGGGAAAGCCAGCAUAAUUUGGUCUUUUUCAAUUUACAGUCUAAUGAGUUUCAUGGAAGCAUACCAGUUCAGUUAUGUUGGUUACAAAAUAUUCUGUUGUUGGAUCUCUCCGUAAACAAUAUUUCAGGAACCAUACCCCAUUGCCUGGAGAAUUUCACCCAUAUGUCAAGAAAACAGUUAGACGACAACAAUAACAUAUAUGGUUACAAUUUUUCUGCAUCUUGGGGAGAAGGUGGCGGUUUUCAAGCCAAGUAUGCUGAUAGGGCCCUGAUUGGAUGGAAAGGAAGAGCAUACAAAUAUGACAAAAAUCUUCGUCUGUUAAGGAUCAUUAAUCUUGCAGUAAACAGAUUAUCUGGGGAAAUUCCAGGGGAAAUAACAAGUCUUCUAGCUCUGGUUGGAUUCAACUUAUCAAGAAAUUAUUUGACUGGAAUGAUUCCUGGGGAUAUUGGAAAAUUGAAGCAGUUACAGUGGCUAGAUUUAUCCAGAAAUCGAUUAUCAGGAGUCAUUCCUGCUAGCAUGGCUGAGCUACACUUUUUGAGUUACAUGGACCUUUCCUACAACAACUUGUCAGGGAGAAUUCCAACAAGCACUCAGCUUCAGAGCUUUGAUGCUUCUAGUUUUGCUGGUAAUUCGGAAAUCUGUGGGCAACCGGUGAUCAAAAAAUGUCCUGGAGAUGAGAGGCCUCAAGUUGGACCAAGAAAAGAUGAUAGCCAAGACAACGAAGAAAACGAUGAUGAAUUGAGGAAAUGGUUUUUAGCCGGUUUGGGUUCUGGAUUCAGUAUUGGCUUUGUGGGAGUUUUAGGCAUUUUAGUGCAACGGCCUUCUUGGAUCCCUGCCUUUUUCUAGUUCCUGGACAAAUCGAGGGACUGGCCCUUGGUGAUAGCGGAAAUCAAAGGCAAGAUCAGAUUCCUUUGGUGGACAAUUUGGAGUUUGACUACUGCCUACCGUUGCGUCAAAGUACAAGACGGACCAAUGAAUUUUAAAUCCAUUUCGUGUAUUUCCCACCAUCUUCAGUUUCCAUGAGAAUAAUUAGUUAACUUUGGCAUUCAUGUCUUACGUGAUGAAUCUUCAAUUUCUAUGGUGAGACUGUAAUUAAAUUAUAAAGUUGGUUAUUGCUUUUAGUGGAAAGAAUAAAAACAACCCAUGUUGAUUUUUUUUUUUUU